Non-coding RNA from Meleagris gallopavo (turkey), 1426 nucleotides. Lineage: Eukaryota; Metazoa; Chordata; Aves; Galliformes; Phasianidae. The record is from RefSeq and is a predicted model, not a curated record.
UAAAUCUGUAAGGCCGGUGGAGUUGAUCUCAUUAAGGAGAAUGAAACAUCACUAUUGGACUGCAUGACUUCUGUUAAAACCUGAAGUGCUUCUAAUGAUAGGUUGCUGAUACUGUGGCUGCCAUUUACCCACCAGAUCCCAACCAAACACUAACAUUUCAAGAAACACUUGGAGACGUACAGUUCCUCACCCAAGAUGCCAUUCAAAGCUGGAUUAGAACUGACUGAAUUACAGAAUAUGACUAUUCCUGAAGAUGAUAACAUCAGCAAUGAUUCAAAUGAUUUCACAGAGGUGGAAAAUGGCCAGAUAAAUAGGACAGAUCUGCUAAGCUGUUCAGCAGACUUGGAUCUGUACCUGUGAUGAUGCUCUCAGGAAGCUGCUGGCUGGAUGCUUGUCCUAGUCUGCAGCUGUGGGUAAGUUAUGAGCGCUCCUUGUUUGGUUGACAAGGUUGCUGGUAGCUAUACCCAGAUCUGGUCAAAGUUUCAUAGUGUAAGCCAGAGCAAGCUUUCUUCUGCAUUUCUUGUUCCUGCUUGUCCUGGAAAUCUUUGCCAUCGCUCAAGCUGCAGCUCCGUUUAAGAAACCGCCUGAGGAUAGAGUUCUGUCAUCUUGGCAAAAUGAGCCUUCCCUAACAAAUGUUUAAGGCAUUGUCAAGUAUCACUUUAAGUUAAUUAUGUUUAAACAUAUCUGAGAUGGCUAAAUGGUUUUAACUCUGCUUAGCCAAAAUGGUUAGCUCCAGGAUAUCACCUUUAUCAAAUAUUUCUCAUUUAAGUCCUUUAAUAAAUUAAAUUUGGAGACUGUGGUUAAGUACAGUCCUUUUAAAACCACUUUAUCAAUAAGACUGAGUUUCUGCUUUUCACUAAAACAAGGCAUAAAAAUAAUUGGAUUACAGAAUUCUUUCCAAGCCAACCGUGAGGCUUCUUUCAUCACAAGGAUGAGCUGAUCAUCUUUUGACCAGGAUAUUCUAUAAAUGCAUCUGAAAAGUUUUGCAUGAACUGUUCGUGCUUGACUGUGAUGUAGAAAGCACACCAGGAAAUCAGAAACAUAGAAGAAUGAGUUAUGAUUGUGUAUGAGGAGUAGAGCAUUCAAAAUGAAGACAACGAACAGCCCAAAUGGAUUUCAUGCUUGUCAGGGGUCACAGGGCACUGGAGGCAUGGGCUGCCUCACCAUGCAUUUCUGUAGGACCUGUCACUGGCUCUAAUCCUUCUGUGGGCUGGGAGGAUCCUCAGCAAACAGUCAUAUUGCUUUGUUCAAGUCAGAUUUAUAAAGCUCAAUAUACAUCGUUAUGACAGUGAGUAGCUUGCUUUCUAAGCGCAUCUGUUGAGCAGAGCAGAUGCAAGGCAUGAUUUAAUAAGAAAUUAUAGUAUUCCAGUCUAUGUUCUCCUUUACAUACCGUAGUAAAAAACAUCCUGAAAUUAGAUUUAAAAAA